Oncorhynchus keta (chum salmon) is the source of this 3910-nucleotide long non-coding RNA. RefSeq lists it as uncharacterized. The transcript has 2 exons. The record is from RefSeq and is a predicted model, not a curated record. Lineage: Eukaryota; Metazoa; Chordata; Actinopteri; Salmoniformes; Salmonidae.
AGCAAAUUUCUUUAAGGCCCCACCCUUUACAGAGAAACAUGGAUGUCAACGACAGAUUUCCCCGUAAGUUUCUUCCUUUCCCUUUUCCCUCCUCUCCUCAUCUCUCAUUUUACGUUGAUAAACCCUGAUUUAAAUGGAGAGAACCUGUAACCUACCCUAUAAACUGGCUGGCAACACCCUAAAGAUCAGACAGCAGGAUCUUCAUUCAAGCUCCCAUGACAUCUCCUUUCCCUUGAUCAAGAUUCCACUGCCCACCCUGAUGGCCAAAGAGACAGAAGAUGUAGCCUAAUGUGUGUGUGUGCAUCUGUUGUGUGUGUUUAUAUGUGUGUGUUUUUGUACAUGUUGCGUGGGUGCUCACUGGCUGACCCACAUCUGUUGUGUGUGUUUAUAUGUGUGUGUUUUUGUACAUGUUGCGUGGGUGCUCGCUCACUGGCUGACCCACAUCUGUUGUGUGUGUUUAUAUGUGUGUGUUUUUGUACAUGUUGCGUGGGUGCUCACUGGCUGACCCACAGCAGUUCUUCACUGGCAAGCUUUAUGUCCUUGUGUACCAACUAAAGCUGCCAGCUGAAGAACUGUUGUGGUUAGCUCUUUCCUGCAUCCCACACAAAAGACCAACAGACGCCUUCGAGAAAUAUGUGUGUAUGUGUGUGUGUCCAGAUGCCAUGCAUGGGAUCAGUGAAUUCUCCAUCCAGAUGAUCCAUAUAGCAACCUGUCAUGGUAGCAGUGUACAGCAUGUUUAGAGGUAAACACAGCAUACAAGAAGCCUAUGGCUAAAACAGAAUAGCUAGCUAUCCAAGACAUCUGUUAUGACGCAAUAGGUCUCAGUUAAGAACACAUGAACCCAAUGCACUCAAAUGUAAUGUUUUCAUUAAGUAGGAAGUAUGAAAAAUGCUUACAAACUAUGAAAUAUGUUUACUAAGUAUGAAGUUUGCUUACUAAAUAUGAAGUAUGAUCACGAAGUAGGAAGUACGCUUACUUGAAGUAUGCUUACUGAAGAUUUUACUGUAUGUGUGCUGUAUUUUGCUCUAUUUACAGUAUGUUGUAUUUAGCUUUAUCUAUGUUUACUCAACAGAGUUGUAUCUAUGCUGUCAUGUACAAUGUGAGAUCUUUUGUACCAAACAAUCAGCAUCAACUUCCCCCACAAAUGGCCGCUGUAUUCUACUCAGGCAUUAACAGAGACGACUGCACAUUGUUGCUACUGUACAUGCGGAGUCAGCCAACAUUCCACACCCCAGCCAGGACCCACCUGCUGCCCUUUUAUGGGUUGAAGGUUAGGAGGGCAUCAUGGGUGCUGCAUUGUAUAUCAGAAAAAAACAUUUCUUGGUUAAUUUCUUAUGCUACUCAAAACCAAGAAAAAGUAGAAGGAUAGGAAGGUAGAUGGACUGGCUACUCAAAAGCUAGAAGUAUGUAAAAUCAUAGGAUGAUUGAUGUAGGGAAGAACGAUACAGUAUGAUAGAUUUGGGAAAGAGAGAAGGAUAGGAGGAUAGAUGGAGGCAAAGAGGACAAGAAAAGAGGUUGGGAGGAUAGAUUGAGGGACGAUCAAGAGGAUAGAUGGAGGGAAGGUUGGGAGGAUAGAUGGAGGGACGAUCAAGAGGAUAGAUGGAGGGAAGGUUAGGAGGAUAGAUGGAGGGAUGAUCAAGAGGAUAGAUGGAGGGAAGGUUAGGAGGAUAGAUGGAGGGAAGGUUAGGAGGAUAGAUGGAGGGACGAUCAAGAGGAUAGAUAGAUGGAGGGAAGGUUAGGAGGAUAGAUGGAGGGAUGAUCAAGAGGAUAGAUGGAGGGAAGGUUGGGAGGAUAGAAUGAUGGAUGAAAGGGAAAGAAGGAGGGAGGGAGAACAAGGCAAGGACAUACAACAAACAGCCUCCUGACAUGCUAGUAAAAGGAGAAGUGUGGCUUUGUUCCAGACUGUUGUGUGUGUGUGUGUUCUCUGGAGCAGAGCCCACUGUUCUGACAUGUGUUUCUGUUUAUUAAUGAGUCUGGAGGCGCUGCCAAUGAGUGAUGAGUUUCCUUUCUAUCUCCCUCUGUUCUCCUUUUCUCUGUCCUCUCUUUCUCUGUCUCUGUCUGUCUCUCUCUCUCUCUCUUUGACCUCUUUCUCUCUCUCUGUGUCACACACACCCACAUGCACACAUACACACAUGCACACACAAUAUUGUACAGCUAACCCUGUGGGGAUACACAAUUCAGUCCCAUUCAAAGUUCUAUUUUCCCUAAUCCCUAACCCUAAAUGAAACCCUAACCUUAACCGUAACCCAAAAACCGAACCUAACUCUAACCCUAAAACUAACCUUAGCUCCUAACCAUAAGCCUUAACGUAAUUCUAACCCUAACACUAAAUCUAACCUUAAUCAUAAACCCCUUAGAAAUAGCAUUUGAACUUGUGGGGACUAACAAAAUAUCCACAGUUGGUCACAUUUUUGUUGUUUACAAUUCUUGUGGGGACUUCUGUUAAACACGUCCACACCCACACACACACUACAUCCCAGCGCCUGACCCUCAGCACGCCAUAAAUCUGACUUCAAGGGCGGUGUCGACGUUGGCGAGAACAGGAUAUGAGAGCGUGGCCCUCUCAAAAUCUUCCCUCCAGAUGAGAACAAAAUGUAGAGAAUGUUCCAGAUGCCGCGGCCGCUACAGUCUAGGAACAUGUGGAGCCAAGAGCUGGAAAACGAGCAGCCCUUCCUAUCUUUUCCCCCUUCUUUCCAUGCAUUUUCUCUCUGUUGUCUAACUUAUCCGUCUCUGAUUUUGGGCUGUUGGUAGGCUAGCUUUUUGUUUCGUACUGUUAUCUCUUUGAUAGUGUCUCCUUAUCUUGUUGUCUUGUCACUCUCCUCUUCCUUCCUCUUCUGUCUAGCAUCUUAAAACACACACACAUUGAGGUAGAGACAAUCACACACACACAAACAUACAUAUGUACAAACACACAAAGACAGAGUGACACACACACACACAUCCCUCAGACAGGAUUAUCCCACUCUCACAAGUUGAUCCUCUCUAGCAAGCACUGCCAGUCCCCUCUGAGCAUGGAACAGAAGCACUGCUGUCAGGGCAGAGCUGUGACCUAGAGAGUAGUAUGUCUGUGUGUGUGUGUGGGUCUCUGUUUUUGUGUGUGUAUCCCUCUGUGUGUUUGUGUGUGUGUGUGUCUCCCGUUGUUUGUUUGGGUGUGUCAGGUCACAGGCCAAGGUCUCCAACCUGAUCCGCUCUGAGGCAAUCGGCCUGCGAGUGCAUUAAGAGAUUGCGGGGGGGGGUGCCGAGCCGAGGCGAGGCUCACUGGCUCGACUUAAAGACAUACACAUAAUCCUGUCUGCUCUGCUGUGGUCUGCUCCACCUGACAAGGAUACGUGUGGCAGGUGUGUCUGUCAGGGACUGUGUGUGUGUGUGUGUGUGUGUGUGUGUGUGUGUGUGUGUGUGUGUGUGUGUGUGUGUGUGUUUGUGCUUGUGUGCGUAUCCUCUCUGAGCUGUACCCCACCUACGCCCUCUCAGGCGUGCCCCUGUCCUUGGACACCCUUACCCGCCCUAGAGUCACUUCAUCUGCCAACUGGAGAAAGAGAGAGAGAGAUAAGGAGGGGUACACAGAGAGAGGGAGAGCGAGACAGAGAGCGAGACAGAGGUAGUCAGACAGAUGGAGGGAGAGAGGGAACCAGCCAGUAGAGAAACGUGACAGGACAGAGGUUACCCCACACCCUCAUGUCAUCCUUCCCAGCCUGACCACACAAAGCACGGUCAGUUAGCUAUAGUCACAAAGCACACCAACACUUAACCAUGCAUUUAAACUAUGGACGCUUGAGAUCUGCAAGUGUACGGUAUGUGUUUUGAUAUGCUAUAAAAUGCUAUGUAUAAUAAGGUAUGCUACAUAAUUCCACUGUAUGUCACUUGGGACUGUGUUCAUUUUCAUAAUAAAUGGAAUUGCACAGAGAGAAAA